CCUACGGGAGGCAGCAGUGGGGAAUCUUGCGCAAUGGGCGAAAGCCUGACGCAGCCAUGCCGCGUGAAUGAUGAAGGUCUUAGGAUUGUAAAAUUCUUUCAGUAGGGACGAUAAUGACGGUACCUACAGAAGAAGCCCCGGCUAACUUCGUGCCAGCAGCCGCGGUAAUACGAAGGGGGCUAGCGUUGCUCGGAAUUACUGGGCGUAAAGGGAGCGUAGGCGGGUUAUCAAGUUGGGAGGUGAAACGCCCGAGGGCUCAACCGUUGGAAUUGCCUUCAAAACUGAUAGCCUAGAGUAUGAUAGAGGUAUGUGGAACUCCGAGUGUAGAGGUGAAAUUCGUAGAUAUUCGGAAGAACACCAGUGGCGAAGGCGACAUACUGGGUCAUGACUGACGCUGAGGCUCGAAAGCGUGGGGAGCAAACAGGAUUAGAUACCCGUGGUAGUCCACGCUGUAAACCGAUGAUUGCUAGUUGUCGGACGGCAUGUCGUCGGUGCGCNGACUACGACAUAGACACUCCGCCGUGGGUAGGUACGGUCGCGAGAAUAACUAACGAAGAAGUAGACGCGNGAGACGACCGACGGACGACGACGAGGGAGGUAGG
This 602-nucleotide ribosomal RNA is filed under the name uncultured bacterium. RNAcentral describes it as "bacterial SSU rRNA". The stretch from base 1 to 521 matches the Rfam family "Bacterial small subunit ribosomal RNA", at positions 338 to 873 of the family's 1533-position model. The record is from RNAcentral.